This 478-nucleotide ribosomal RNA is filed under the name uncultured bacterium. RNAcentral describes it as "partial 16S ribosomal RNA". It matches the Rfam family "Bacterial small subunit ribosomal RNA", at positions 28 to 523 of the family's 1533-position model. The record is from RNAcentral.
AACGAACGCUGGCGGCGUGCUUAACACAUGCAAGUCGAACGGUAAGGCCCUUCGGGGUACACGAGUGGCGAACGGGUGAGUAACACGUGGGUGAUCUGCCCUGCACUUCGGGAUAAGCCUGGGAAACUGGGUCUAAUACCGGAUAGGACCCUGGGAUGCAUGUCCUGGGGUGGAAAGCUUUUGCGGUGUGGGAUGGGCCCGCGGCCUAUCAGCUUGUUGGUGGGGUGAUGGCCUACCAAGGCGACGACGGGUAGCCGGCCUGAGAGGGUGACCGGCCACACUGGGACUGAGAUACGGCCCAGACUCCUACGGGAGGCAGCAGUGGGGAAUAUUGCACAAUGGGCGCAAGCCUGAUGCAGCGACGCCGCGUGAGGGAUGACGGCCUUCGGGUUAUAAACCUCUUUCAGCACCGACGAAGCGCAAGUGACGGUAGGUGCAGAAGAAGGACUGGCCAACUACGUGCCAGCCGCCGCCGUAA